GGAGAGGAAUUGCGAAAAGAUUGCAGAGAGGAGAUGGGCGGAUGAGUGGGCGGCGCGGAGGGAGGAGAUGGGAAAAAGAUAAGGAAGAAAGCGAUGAGGGAGGGCUUAGAGAGGAGGUCGGGACGGGAAGGGGAGGAGGGAGAGAGGUGGGGGAGGGGUUUGAGAGGGUCGAGGGGAUGGUGGGAGAGGGUUUGGGAUUUGGGAAAGAUUGGGCAAGAUGCGAGGAGUGGUGGGGUGGAGGGAGGAGAUGGAAA
RNAcentral lists this long non-coding RNA (254 nucleotides) under Elaeis guineensis (African oil palm). RNAcentral describes it as "long non-coding RNA (EGUI_LNC011164)". The record is from RNAcentral. Lineage: Eukaryota; Viridiplantae; Streptophyta; Magnoliopsida; Arecales; Arecaceae.